Long non-coding RNA from Podarcis raffonei (Aeolian wall lizard), 584 nucleotides. RefSeq lists it as uncharacterized. Lineage: Eukaryota; Metazoa; Chordata; Lepidosauria; Squamata; Lacertidae. The record is from RefSeq and is a predicted model, not a curated record. The transcript has 2 exons.
GGUCAGUGCCGGCAGCAACCCUUACCUCCAUCUUGAGAUGGUCAGAGUAACAGCUGACUAGGAAUGGCUGAGUAUGCAAUUCUAUGGAGACGGGGAAUUAGGGCUGACUCACUCUGCAGCGCAGAGCUUCAAUGCAAAAUCAUUACAAGGCCAUCCGUUCCAUUUCACAAGAGCUUAUCUGCAGACCCAAACCAUUUCCCCCUUAAUUAGAUGCUGCAAACGCUGGCAUUUCACGUCCCGACACCCACCACCACUGCAAGGAGACCCAUACAGGUACUGCCUUGGCAAGGUGGGGGGCGAUGCUCUCCAAUCCAAUCUGUGAAGCUCGUAAAGGGUCUGAGGGGGGCUGAAUGAGUCACGAAGAAGUUCUCAAUGGCCCGAAUCACUAGAGACUGUCUGCUGAUGUAAUUGCAGGGAUGCCUCAACCUACUUCAUCCUUACUAGGAUGCACCAACACGGCUCUCAGGGAAAAAAUAUCCAGGCUUAUUCUGGGCUCCUGUGUUUCACUACUUUGUAUUUCUGCACAUGGUCCCUUAUGUGGUUUUGCCUCCUCUGCACUCAAAUAAUACAUCAGAAUCUCAAAA